Molecule: transfer RNA, 72 nt
Filed under: Capra hircus (goat)
Lineage: Eukaryota; Metazoa; Chordata; Mammalia; Artiodactyla; Bovidae
Also listed under: 2 other names
Rfam family: tRNA
About the family: Transfer RNA (tRNA) molecules are approximately 80 nucleotides in length. Their secondary structure includes four short double-helical elements and three loops (D, anti-codon, and T loops).
Source: Rfam by way of RNAcentral
UCCCUGGUGGCUCAGAGGUUAAAGCGUCUGCCUCCAAUGCAGGAGACCUGGGUUCGAUUCCUGGGUUGGGAA